GACGAACGCUGGCGGCGUGCCUAAUACAUGCAAGUAGAACGCACAGUUUAUACCGUAGCUUGCUACACCAUAGACUGUGAGUUGCGAACGGGUGAGUAACGCGUAGGUAACCUGCCUGGUAGCGGGGGAUAACUAUUGGAAACGAUAGCUAAUACCGCAUAAUAUUGAUUAUUGCAUGAUAAUUGAUUGAAAGAUGCUAUUGCAUCACUACCAGAUGGACCUGCGUUGUACUAGCUAGUAGGUGAGGUAACGGCUCACCUAGGCGACGAUACAUAGCCGACCUGAGAGGGUGAUCGGCCACACUGGGACUGAGGCACGGCCCAGACUCCUACGGGAGGCAGCAGUAGGGAAUCUUCGGCAAUGGACGAAAGUCUGACCGAGCAACGCCGCGUGAGUGAAGAAGGUUUUCGGAUCGUAAAGCUCUGUUGUAAGAGAAGAACGGGUGUGAGAGUGGAAAGUUCACACUGUGACGGUAUCUUACCAGAAAGGGACGGCUAACUACGUG
This 505-nucleotide ribosomal RNA is filed under the name uncultured bacterium. Its description in RNAcentral is "partial 16S ribosomal RNA". It matches the Rfam family "Bacterial small subunit ribosomal RNA", at positions 28 to 507 of the family's 1533-position model. The record is from RNAcentral.